Molecule: ribosomal RNA, 251 nt
Filed under: uncultured prokaryote
Description: partial 16S rRNA
Rfam family: Bacterial small subunit ribosomal RNA
Source: RNAcentral
ACGGAGGAAGCAAGCGUUAUCCGGAAUUAUUGGGUUUAAAGGGUGCGCAGGCGGCAAGGCAAGUCAGAGGUGAAAUCCCAGGGCUUAACUCUAGAACUGCAUUUGAAACUGCGUGUCUUGAGUACAGUUGAGGAAAGCGGAAUGCCUAGUGUAGCGGUGAAAUGCUUAGAUAUGACACAGAACACCAGUCGCGAAGGCGGCUUUCUAAAUUGUAACUGACACUCAUGCACGAAAGCGUGGGGAUCAAACAG